This is a long non-coding RNA of Balaenoptera ricei (Rice's whale), 383 nucleotides long. RefSeq lists it as uncharacterized. Lineage: Eukaryota; Metazoa; Chordata; Mammalia; Artiodactyla; Balaenopteridae. The record is from RefSeq and is a predicted model, not a curated record. The transcript has 3 exons.
UCAGCCACUCAACAAGCACCACUGAGGGGCCACUGAAUGCAGAACAUCAUCAGACCUGCUAUGAAGAGACACAGAGAAAGGACCCUCAGAAGGAAAAAACCCACCCCAAACCCAAGAACAAUAUAGAAGGUUUACACUGAGAAAUCCUUGUGAUUAUAUCGAGCCCACCUGGAUAAUGCAGGAGAAUUUCCCAUCUCAGGAUCCUUACGUUAAUCACACCUGCGGAAUGCCUUCCUUUUGCCGUGUGCUGUGGUUUCGCCGCCUGUGUCCCCCCUAAUGUCCAAUGGGAUGGUGUUAGGAGGUGGGGCCUUUGGGAUGUGCUUAAGUCAUGAAGGUGGAGCCCUCAUGAAUGGAUUAAUGGUCUUAUAAAAGAGACCCCGGAA